CAGCCUGCAUUUCUACCAACAAGUAAUUGUAAAGCAAUCCAACUGGACCAGCUACAAGUUGCAGUUGAACUCUCCUCCGUGUGUUUUGCUGACUGAAUCUUACACUACACCCAAUUCAGUCAUCAGUGAUUCAUUCAAUCCAUUGCUUGUGCAAGAUAUCGCAAUUGUCGGACCAUGAACGGUUGGUGGGAGGGAAAACACACUUGAAAUUGUCGUGUUAUAAACAGAAGAAGGACGAUGCCUAAUCGCCAAGCUAACCUCGCCAGCGGAAGGACGUCAAGGAAGGACGGCACGGACAGACCGACAGUCACUCCUACUGAAGUUCCGAAUCUUGUUCCAGCAGAGCUGUUGCUGCUCUAAAAACUGCCAUUUCAGAAGUUGGGGAUAGACAUUGGAUUAGGAUGUUAACUGACAAGGAUGCAAAAUUUCUGCGGGUCCAUCAUCUACUCAGACUUACUUAAGUGUUUUGUGAAAAUCUUGUCAAUUCCGUGUACACAAUACAUUGUCUAGCUCUCUCUGGUCCUAUGUAGGUAAAAACUGAUCAUUUAUUUUUUUUGAUAAAUAUCAGUGAUCUUAGCCUAUUCGCUUCGCUGAAAAGUUAUGACUAAAAGUACUGUUUGCUAAUUUGUUGUGAAAGAAUAACUUGCAGAUUUAGCAGAUAAGUUCAAGUGAACAGGCUCUUUCCUCUUUGAAGUACAACCGUAGAGUAGUUUGUUUUACUUUCAGCAACGAAACGAAGGAAGUGACGGGUGAUCGUGCACAAAUGGAUGUGAAGCAAUCAAAACUCAGAUAUGUACCUGCUCAGCCGCUGCGUCGUCGUGGCAACAUAUGGGGCGUCCGCUCUGCGAUGAGAGCGCCAGGGAGAGAGCAACUACAACGCUGACUCAGACUCGUCAGCGGCAAGGAGGAGCCUGCUGCGCGGGGGCAUGAAGCUUGAUCUAGGCUGGGCGGACGACCUCUCUCGCUGGCUGCUUCACAUGCGCCACAGGUUCUGCCGUUUCGCUGCUUGUCGUCAUGGCUCCCGCCCACCACUAUGACAGUGGCGUAUGCACUCCCAUGAGUCGCGUAUGGCAGGGAGGCGAGCGUGAGUCUUGUAUGGCAGGAAGACGAGCCUGAGUCGCGUGAUUAGCGGUAGCAGCAAUUUGCGACGGGCAUGGGUGUGAGUCACGUGAUUAGCAGCGGCUUAGCAUAGGGGCGGGGUGCCUGCAUCAGAUCAUUGUCCAAUCUCCAAUUUGUUAACUAUACACAUUUAAUUUCCCAUGACUGUUUAGUGAUCUUGAUUCUACAUGUAAGAAUUUCAUUUUCAAUUAAAUUGUAAAAUUUAAAAGAAGAUUACGUAUGCAUUAAAAACGCCAAAUAAUUUCAUCACCCACCGGUGCUUCUGGAUGUUCUGCUGUUGCCGCCGUGGUUCCGGGAAGCUAUCUCCAUGUGCCAUCCUCUUCUGUGUCUCAUGACAUGGCAAUACAAGGACACGACGGUCCGGAAGUGAAGUCUUCGGUCUUCACUUUUCAGCAGCAGCAGGCAUCGGAGCAAUGAUAGAAAUUUUCUCCAUAGCUUCAACUUCAACUCAAUGUUCAUUCAUUUGCUUGGCGUAAUUGAUGUCAUCUCCUUAGCUUCAACAUCUCAUCCUGGAGGCUAACUCCACCGACUAGCCAUAGGCAAAUCUCCAACCCGUGUUUUCAUCUUCUAAAACAACAUGAUGCUUGUCUUUUCUGUAGGAUAAUACAUCCUGAAGGACGAGCAUAAAGAUUUGCAUGAUGAACAAAACUGCCUCAUGCCUCCCAAUCCAAACACAGCAAUGCAAGACACUAGGGCUUCGCAUUGCUCCUUUCGCAACUCGAAGCCUUUUUUAUUUCCUAUUUGUAGACCAAAUGAGAUGAUGUGUUGCACUGCACAUAUAAGAAACCAGACUUUAGAUGUGUACUAGCUAUC
RNAcentral lists this long non-coding RNA (1932 nucleotides) under Sorghum bicolor (sorghum). RNAcentral describes it as "long non-coding RNA (SBIC_LNC015102)". Lineage: Eukaryota; Viridiplantae; Streptophyta; Magnoliopsida; Poales; Poaceae. The record is from RNAcentral.